Rhododendron vialii is the source of this 352-nucleotide long non-coding RNA. RefSeq lists it as uncharacterized. The transcript has 2 exons. The record is from RefSeq and is a predicted model, not a curated record. NCBI's taxonomy places the organism in Eukaryota, Viridiplantae, Streptophyta, Magnoliopsida, Ericales, Ericaceae.
GGAUUAGAAGAUUAAGGGGUAGACUGCAGCGCUUUUUAGUAUUAGGGGGUAAGUUAGAAAACUGGUGAACAUUGAGGGUGCAAAAAGUAAUUAAUCCUCCAAAAUUUGGCAGACAUACGCAUGUUGACGAGAAGGAACGAGAGGCAAACAUACGUCCGUUAUCUUCUUCUUCCGACGCCUCCGGUCGCCGUCGCCGUCACUUUUGCCCCCGUUAUCCGGCGACCCACUCACCCAAAGACCUGGAGAGAAGGACAAAGCUCGGAAGCUUGCGACGUGUUUCAUAACCUAUAAAGUUGGAAGCUUGUUAUAAGCUGUAAACUCCAUUCGUUUGUUAUUGCAAUCCUUAUCUUUG